CUUUAAUUCACCCAUUGUACCAAUGCUUUAUUAUCAAGUCACAUAUUGCUAUCCCAUUCUUUGCAGAGCAUUAAAACUGCUGUGAGUCUAUCAGUAAAUCAGUAUUCAAGGUAGCUUUUUAGUUUCUUCACAACUACAUAUAAACAGAUACAAUGUUUAGCUUGUUGACUAAACGCACAAGCCUGCAGAAAUGCAGAGUGAACAAAGACACAAGUCAAACAUUCCUGAGCAUAAAAAAGCUGGGGAUUUAUUACACUUUAGUGUAGUUUAAUCCAUAAAAAACUCACAAAUUACAGCGCGCCGUCCCCGCAGCGGCACCGAGCACUCUACAGACACAUUCUUUGAGGUGGAGAUGAACCGAACAACCCGGUUAAAAGGAUCUGAGCCGCUCUCUGAAAAAUGCACCGCAGCAUCUCUGAUUUUCGUCUUCUGCGAGGAGGACGGAGAUAAAAGGGAUGGGAACGCUCAGACGGGUUCUUGGCCCGAUCACAGAGACCCGUUCUCUCCCGGCUCCUGUCAGAACAGGCUACUGUCAUGGCAGAUUAGGUAAAGCCACUGGAGGCAUUCUCAACGCUGACGCGACCCGACAUGGCUGCGCUGAGGAGAUUUAUACAUUUAUUUAAGGUGAAACUGUGUUAGGUUUGAGAUUAGUUGGCAUCCGCUACUCGCGAACAGGGGAUACAACAAAUGUCAGGACCAAAACAAGCACACAGCCGGCGGCUCUAUCGGCCUACAGGACAUGUCGGACACGGUGGCCGAGGCCAGUAACGCCCCACGUGGGCAAAAAGACAGAACUUGUUAAACAUGAAAAUGUGUUUUGAAACAAAACACCCAGAGGAGAAAAAACGGGUAGUUUUCAAACCAUCAGCGGAAGAGGAACAUAAUAACUUCAUAAUAGAAAACUUCUAUAGAACUUACAUAGAGAAUCAGUACAGUUACAUAAAACAGAUCUAUGACUAACAGGUCUAUCCCAGUAACAGGUCUAUCACAGUUACAGGUCUACACAGUAACAGGUCUAUCACAGUAACAGGUCUAUCACAGUAACAGGUCUAUGACUAACAGGUCUAUCACAGUAACAGGUCUAUCACAAUAACAGGUCUAUCACAGUAACAGGUCUAUGGAACUAACAGGUCUAUCACAGUAACAGGUCUAUGACUAACAGGUCUAUCACAAUAACAGGUCUAUCGCAGUAACAGGUUUAUCCCAGUAACAGGUCUAUGGAACUAACAGGUCUAUCACAGUAACAGGUCUAUCACAGUAACAGGUCUAUCACAGUAACAGGUCUAUCACAGUAACAGGUCUAUCACAGUAACAGGUCUAUCACAGUAACAGGUCUAUCACAGUAACAGGUCUAUCACAGUAACAGAUCUAUCACAGUAACAGGUCUAUGGAACUAACAGGGCCAUCACAGUAACAGGUAUAUCACAGUAACAGGUCUACAGAAAUAACAGGUCUACCACAUUAACAGGUCUAUAACUAAAAGGUCUAUGACAUGGA
Long non-coding RNA from Astyanax mexicanus (Mexican tetra), 1497 nucleotides. RefSeq lists it as uncharacterized. The record is from RefSeq and is a predicted model, not a curated record. Lineage: Eukaryota; Metazoa; Chordata; Actinopteri; Characiformes; Acestrorhamphidae. The transcript is spliced from 3 exons.